This 71-nucleotide transfer RNA is filed under the name Loxodonta africana (African savanna elephant). It matches the Rfam family "tRNA". Rfam says of the family: Transfer RNA (tRNA) molecules are approximately 80 nucleotides in length. Their secondary structure includes four short double-helical elements and three loops (D, anti-codon, and T loops). Lineage: Eukaryota; Metazoa; Chordata; Mammalia; Proboscidea; Elephantidae. The record is from Rfam by way of RNAcentral.
GCAGUGGCGGUCCAGUGGUAGAAUUCUCGCCUUUCAUGUGGGAGACCCGGGUUCGACUCCUGGCCAAUGUU